RNAcentral lists this ribosomal RNA (466 nucleotides) under uncultured bacterium. RNAcentral describes it as "partial 16S ribosomal RNA". It matches the Rfam family "Bacterial small subunit ribosomal RNA", at positions 28 to 507 of the family's 1533-position model. The record is from RNAcentral.
GACGAACGCUGGCGGCGUGCUUAACACAUGCAAGUCGAACGGAAAGGCCCUGCUUGCCGGGUACUCGAGUGGCGAACGGGUGAGUAACACGUGGGUGAUCUGCCCUGCACUUCGGGAUAAGCCUGGGAAACUGGGUCUAAUACCGGAUAGGAGCCAUUUUUAGUGUGAUGGUUGGAAAGUUUUUUUCGGUGUAGGAUGAGCUCGCGGCCUAUCAGCUUGUUGGUGGGGUAAUGGCCUACCAAGGCGGCGACGGGUAGCCGGCCUGAGAGGGUGGACGGCCACAUUGGGACUGAGAUACGGCCCAGACUCCUACGGGAGGCAGCAGUGGGGAAUAUUGCACAAUGGGCGCAAGCCUGAUGCAGCGACGCCGCGUGGGGGAUGACGGCCUUCGGGUUGUAAACUCCUUUCGCUAGGGACAAAGCUUUUUGUGACGGUACCUAGAUAAGAAGCACCGGCUAACUACGUG